RNAcentral lists this ribosomal RNA (799 nucleotides) under uncultured bacterium. RNAcentral describes it as "bacterial SSU rRNA". It matches the Rfam family "Bacterial small subunit ribosomal RNA", at positions 8 to 782 of the family's 1533-position model. The record is from RNAcentral.
AGAGUUUGAUCAUGGCUCAGAAUGAACGCUGGCGGCGUGCCUAACACAUGCAAGUCGAGCGCGAAAGUGUCCUUCGGGACACGAGUAAAGCGGCGCACGGGUGAGUAACGCGUAGGUAACCUGCCCCUAAGUCCGGGAUAACCCUGCGAAAGCGGGGCUAAUACCGGAUACAGCCUCUAAAGCUGUGGCUUUAGAGGUGAAAGGUGACCUCUCCAUGGAAGUUGCCGCUUAGGGAGGGGCCUGCGUCCUAUCAGCUAGUUGGUGGGGUAAUGGCCCACCAAGGCUAUGACGGGUAGCUGGUCUGAGAGGACGGCCAGCCACACUGGCACUGAAACACGGGCCAGACUCCUACGGGAGGCAGCAGUGGGGAAUCUUGGGCAAUGGGCGAAAGCCUGACCCAGCGACGCCGCGUGGGUGAAGAAGGCCUUCGGGUCGUAAAGCCCUGUCAGGUGGGAAGAAAGGCUUGGGGUUAAGAGCCUCAAGCUCUGACGGUACCACCAGAGGAAGCCACGGCUAACUCCGUGCCAGCAGCCGCGGUAAUACGGAGGUGGCAAGCGUUACUCGGAAUCACUGGGCGUAAAGCGCAUGCAGGCGGCUUCGUAAGUCGGAUGUGAAAUCUCCCGGCUCAACUGGGAGGGGUCAUUCGAUACUGCGAGGCUUGAGGGCAGGAGAGGGGAGUGGAAUUCCCGGUGUAGUGGUGAAAUGCGUAGAUAUCGGGAGGAACACCAGUGGCGAAGCGGCUCCCUGGCCUGCACCUGACGCUAAGAUGCGAAAGCGUGGGGAGCGAACGGGGAUUAGA